CGGCAAUUAGCGCAGUCCGGUAGCGCGUCUGGUUUGGGGCCAGGGGGUCAAAGGUUCGAAUCCUUUAUUGCCGACCA
Molecule: transfer RNA, 77 nt
Filed under: Aeromonas sp. MrichA-1
Lineage: Bacteria; Pseudomonadati; Pseudomonadota; Gammaproteobacteria; Aeromonadales; Aeromonadaceae
Description: tRNA-Pro
Rfam family: tRNA
About the family: Transfer RNA (tRNA) molecules are approximately 80 nucleotides in length. Their secondary structure includes four short double-helical elements and three loops (D, anti-codon, and T loops).
Source: RNAcentral